GGCUCAGAUUGAACGCUGGCGGCAUGCUUUACACAUGCAAGUCGGACGGCAGCACAGAGAAGCUUGCUUCUUGGGUGGCGAGUGGCGAACGGGUGAGUAACAUAUCGGAACGUACCGAGCAGUGGGGGAUAACUAAUCGAAAGAUUAGCUAAUACCGCAUAUAUUCUGAGGAAGAAAGCAGGGGACCAUUUGGCCUUGCGCUGUUUGAGCGGCCGAUAUCUGAUUAGCUAGUUGGUGGGGUAAAGGCCUACCAAGGCGACGAUCAGUAGCGGGUCUGAGAGGAUGAUCCGCCACACGGGGACUGAGACACGGCCCAGACUCCUACGGGAGGCAGCAGUGGGGAAUUUUGGACAAUGGGCGCAAGCCUGAUCCAGCCAUGCCGCGUGUCUGAAGAAGGCCUUCGGGUUGUAAAGGACUUUUGUCAGGGAAGAAAAGGGCGGGGUUAAUACCCCUGUCUGAUGACGGUACCUGAAGAAUAAGCACCGGCUAACUAC
RNAcentral lists this ribosomal RNA (494 nucleotides) under uncultured bacterium. RNAcentral's name for it is "bacterial SSU rRNA". It matches the Rfam family "Bacterial small subunit ribosomal RNA", at positions 21 to 504 of the family's 1533-position model. The record is from RNAcentral.